AUGCACGCCAAGACGGACUCGGAGGUGACGAGCCUGGCUCCAUCCUCCCCAGCGCGCUCCCCGCCGCGGGCGGCCGCCAGCAACAACGCCGGGGGCGGCGGCGGGGUGAUGCGCGGCUCGGUGUACUACGUGCAGAGCCCGUCGCGGGACUCGCACGACGGGGAGACCACCACCAAGGGGGCAACCUCCGUGCACUCCACGCCCGCGCUCAGCCCCAUGGCCUCGCCCCGCCACUCCCACUCCUCCGUCGGCCGCGACUCCUCCUCCAGCCGCUUCUCCCGCGGCGCCGCCCACCACAAGGACAAGUCCGGGGGCGGCCGCAAGGGCGCGCCGCCGGGCAAGGGGUGGCAGGAGAUCGGGGUCAUCGAGGAGGAGGGGCUGCUCGACGAGGAGGACCAGCGCCGCCCCAUGCCCAAGCGCUGCAAGUACUGCCUCAUCUUCGUCGGCGGCUUCGCGGUGCUCUUCACCUUCUUCGCGCUCGUGCUCUGGGGCGCCAGCCGCUCCCAGAAGCCGCAGAUCGCCAUGAAGAGCAUCACGUUCGAGAACUUCAUCAUCCAGGCCGGCACGGACGCGUCGCUGGUGCCGACGGACAUGGCCACCACCAACGCGACCGUCAAGUUCACCUACAAGAACACCGGCACCUUCUUCGGCAUCCACGUCACCGCCGACCCCUUCACGCUGUCCUACUCCCAGCUCAACCUCGCCGCCGGAGACCUCAAGAAGUUCUACCAGGGGCGGAGCGGGCGGCGGACGGCGAGCGUGAACGUGAAGGGGAACAAGGUGCCGCUGUACGGCAGCGGGCCGACGCUGAUGGCGCAGCCGGCGGGGGGCAAGGGCGGCGCCGGCAAGGUGAUCCCGGUGCCGAUGGUGCUGCGGACGACGGUGCGGUCGCAGGCGUACGUGCUGGGGGCGCUGGUGAAGCCCCGGUUCACCAAGGAGGUGGAGUGCAAGGUGGUGAUGAACCCCGCCAAGCUCAACAAGCCCGUCUCCCUGGAGAAGGCCUGCAAAUACUCAUGA
This 1017-nucleotide ribosomal RNA is filed under the name Triticum aestivum (bread wheat). Its description in RNAcentral is "partial small subunit ribosomal RNA". The record is from RNAcentral. Lineage: Eukaryota; Viridiplantae; Streptophyta; Magnoliopsida; Poales; Poaceae.